RNAcentral lists this ribosomal RNA (517 nucleotides) under uncultured bacterium. RNAcentral's name for it is "bacterial SSU rRNA". It matches the Rfam family "Bacterial small subunit ribosomal RNA", at positions 9 to 521 of the family's 1533-position model. The record is from RNAcentral.
GAGUUUGAUCGUGGCUCAGGAUGAACGCUAGCGGCAGGCUUAAUACAUGCAAGUCGUGGGGCAGCAUAGGGUAGCAAUACUCUGAUGGCGACCGGCAAACGGGUGCGGAACACGUACGCAACCUUCCUUUAACUGGAGAAUAGCCCCUCGAAAGAGGGAUUAAUACUCCGUAACAUGUUGAUAAGGCAUCUUAUUAAUAUUAUAGCUCCGGCGGUUAAAGAUGGGCGUGCGCCUGAUUAGGUAGUUGGCGGGGUAACGGCCCACCAAGCCUUCGAUCAGUAACUGGUGUGAGAGCACGACCAGUCACACGGGCACUGAGACACGGGCCCGACUCCUACGGGAGGCAGCAGUAAGGAAUAUUGGUCAAUGGACGCAAGUCUGAACCAGCCAUGCCGCGUGGAGGAUUAAGGCCCUCUGGGUUGUAAACUCCUUUAUCUGGGAAGAAUCCAUAUAUUCUUAUGUGGUUGACGGUACCAGAGGAAUAAGCACCGGCUAACUCCGUGCCAGCCGCCGCCGU